Molecule: transfer RNA, 82 nt
Rfam family: tRNA
About the family: Transfer RNA (tRNA) molecules are approximately 80 nucleotides in length. Their secondary structure includes four short double-helical elements and three loops (D, anti-codon, and T loops).
Source: Rfam
GGCGGUAUGCCCGAGUGGCCAAUGGGAGCGGACUGUAAAUCCGUCGGCUUAGCCUACCGUGGUUCGAAUCCACGUGCCGCCA